Molecule: ribosomal RNA, 497 nt
Filed under: uncultured bacterium
Lineage: Bacteria
Description: partial 16S ribosomal RNA
Rfam family: Bacterial small subunit ribosomal RNA
Source: RNAcentral
GGGGGGGGGGGGGGGGGGGGGGGGGGGGGGGGGGGGGGGGGCGGGGGGGGGGUGCGGGUGGCGACUGGGUGAGGAGCGAACGGGGGAGUAGCGCGGGGGGAAUCUGCCUUUGAGCGGGGGACAACAUGUGGAAACGAAUGCUAAUACCGCAUAAGAACUUUAAACACAAGUGUUAAGGUUGAAAGAUGCAAUUGCAUCACUCAAAGAUGAUCCCGCGUUGUAUUAGCUAGUUGGUGAGGUAAAGGCUCACCAAGGCGAUGAUACAUAGCCGACCUGAGAGGGUGAUCGGCCCAAUUGGGACUGGGACACGGCCCAAACUCCUACGGGAGGCAGCAGUAGGGAAUCUUCGGCAAUAGACGAAAGUCUGACCGAGCAACGCCGCGUGAGUGAAGAAGGUUUUCGGAUCGUAAAACCCUGUUGGUAGAGAAGAACGUUGGUGAGAGUGGAAAGCUCAUCAAGUGACGGUAACUACCCAGAAAGGGACGGCUAACUACGUG